This 920-nucleotide ribosomal RNA is filed under the name uncultured bacterium. RNAcentral's name for it is "bacterial SSU rRNA". It matches the Rfam family "Bacterial small subunit ribosomal RNA", at positions 83 to 984 of the family's 1533-position model. The record is from RNAcentral.
UUGGGAAAGCGAGCGGCGGAUGGGUGAGUAACACGUGGGGAACCUGCCCCUAAGUCUGGGAUACCAUUUGGAAACAGGUGCUAAUACCGGAUAAUAAAGCAGAUCGCAUGAUCAGCUUUUGAAAGGCGGCGUAAGCUGUCGCUAAGGGAUGGCCCCGCGGUGCAUUAGCUAGUUGGUAAGGUAACGGCUUACCAAGGCGACGAUGCAUAGCCGAGUUGAGAGACUGAUCGGCCACAUUGGGACUGAGACACGGCCCAAACUCCUACGGGAGGCAGCAGUAGGGAAUCUUCCACAAUGGACGCAAGUCUGAUGGAGCAACGCCGCGUGAGUGAAGAAGGUUUUCGGAUCGUAAAGCUCUGUUGUUGGUGAAGAAGGAUAGAGGUAGUAACUGGCCUUUAUUUGACGGUAAUCAACCAGAAAGUCACGGCUAACUACGUGCCAGCAGCCGCGGUAAUACGUAGGUGGCAAGCGUUGUCCGGAUUUAUUGGGCGUAAAGCGAGCGCAGGCGGAAAAAUAAGUCUAAUGUGAAAGCCCUCGGCUUAACCGAGGAACUGCAUCGGAAACUGUUUUUCUUGAGUGCAGAAGAGGAGAGUGGAACUCCAUGUGUAGCGGUGGAAUGCGUAGAUAUAUGGAAGAACACCAGUGGCGAAGGCGGCUCUCUGGUCUGCAACUGACGCUGAGGCUCGAAAGCAUGGGUAGCGAACAGGAUUAGAUACCCUGGUAGUCCAUGCCGUAAACGAUGAGUGCUAAGUGUUGGGAGGUUUCCGCCUCUCAGUGCUGCAGCUAACGCAUUAAGCACUCCGCCUGGGGAGUACGACCGCAAGGUUGAAACUCAAAGGAAUUGACGGGGGGCCCGCACAAGCGGUGGGAGCAUGUGGUUUAAAUUCCGAAGCACCCCGAAGAACCUUACCAGGUCUUGA